GAUGAACGCUGGCGGCGUGCUUAACACAUGCAAGUCGAACGAUGAAGCCCAGCUUGCUGGGUGGAUUAGUGGCGAACGGGUGAGUAACACGUGAGUAACCUGCCCUUAACUCUGGGAUAAGCCUGGGAAACUGGGUCUAAUACCGGAUAGGAGCGCCUACCGCAUGGUGGGUGUUGGAAAGAUUUAUCGGUUUUGGAUGGACUCGCGGCCUAUCAGCUUGUUGGUGAGGUAAUGGCUCACCAAGGCGACGACGGGUAGCCGGCCUGAGAGGGUGACCGGCCACACUGGGACUGAGACACGGCCCAGACUCCUACGGGAGGCAGCAGUGGGGAAUAUUGCACAAUGGGCGAAAGCCUGAUGCAGCGACGCCGCGUGAGGGAUGACGGCCUUCGGGUUGUAAACCUCUUUCAGCAGGGAAGAAGCGAAAGUGACGGUACCUGCAGAAGAAGCACCGGCUAACUACGUG
RNAcentral lists this ribosomal RNA (466 nucleotides) under uncultured bacterium. RNAcentral's name for it is "partial 16S ribosomal RNA". It matches the Rfam family "Bacterial small subunit ribosomal RNA", at positions 28 to 507 of the family's 1533-position model. The record is from RNAcentral.